RNAcentral lists this ribosomal RNA (566 nucleotides) under uncultured bacterium. RNAcentral describes it as "bacterial SSU rRNA". It matches the Rfam family "Bacterial small subunit ribosomal RNA", at positions 79 to 628 of the family's 1533-position model. The record is from RNAcentral.
CUUGCUCUUGUUUGGUUAGCGGCGGACGGGUGAGUAACACGUGGGUAACCUACCCGUAAGACCGGGAUAACUCCGGGAAACCGGAGCUAAUACCGGAUAACACCUAAGACCGCAUGGUCUUUGGUUGAAAGGCGGCUUCGGCUGUCACUUACGGAUGGGCCCGCGGCGCAUUAGCUAGUUGGUGAGGUAACGGCUCACCAAGGCGACGAUGCGUAGCCGGCCUGAGAGGGUGACCGGCCACACUGGGACUGAGACACGGCCCAGACUCCUACGGGAGGCAGCAGUAGGGAAUCUUCCGCAAUGGACGAAAGUCUGACGGAGCGACGCCGCGUGAGCGAAGAAGGUCUUCAGAUCGUAAAGCUCUGUUGUUAGGGAAGAAGAAGUACCGUUCGAAUAGGGCGGUACGGUGACGGUACCUAACGAGAAAGCCCCGGCUAACUACGUGCCAGCAGCCGCGGUAAUACGUAGGGGGCGAGCGUUGUCCGGAAUUAUUGGGCGUAAAGCGCGCGCAGGCGGUCCCUUAAGUCUGAUGUGAAAGCCCACGGCUCACCCGUGGAGGGCCAUUG